This 75-nucleotide transfer RNA is filed under the name Brucella sp. 83/13. RNAcentral's name for it is "tRNA-Val". It matches the Rfam family "tRNA". Rfam says of the family: Transfer RNA (tRNA) molecules are approximately 80 nucleotides in length. Their secondary structure includes four short double-helical elements and three loops (D, anti-codon, and T loops). Further hydrogen bonds mediate the characteristic L-shaped molecular structure. tRNAs have two regions of fundamental functional importance: the anti-codon, which is responsible for specific mRNA codon recognition, and the 3' end, to which the tRNAs corresponding amino acid is attached (by aminoacyl-tRNA synthetases). tRNAs cope with the degeneracy of the genetic code in two manners: having more than one tRNA (with a specific anti-codon) for a particular amino acid; and 'wobble' base-pairing, i.e. permitting non-standard base-pairing at the 3rd anti-codon position. RNAcentral also lists the same sequence under 3 other names. The record is from RNAcentral. Lineage: Bacteria; Pseudomonadati; Pseudomonadota; Alphaproteobacteria; Hyphomicrobiales; Brucellaceae.
GGGCGUGUAGCUCAGCGGGAGAGCACUACGUUGACAUCGUAGGGGUCACAGGUUCAAUCCCUGUUACGCCCACCA